RNAcentral lists this long non-coding RNA (728 nucleotides) under Citrus maxima (pomelo). RNAcentral describes it as "long non-coding RNA (CMAX_LNC003604)". Lineage: Eukaryota; Viridiplantae; Streptophyta; Magnoliopsida; Sapindales; Rutaceae. The record is from RNAcentral.
GGUUGGAGAUGGUGCUAGAAAGUGUCAUUGAGACCACAGCAGAGAUUGAAAAUUUCAAUAUCUUCUCAGGCACUGUUGGAGUAAGCCGGCACAGCGUAUCAAUUCACUCAUUGGCUGAAACUGCAUUGAUGUUGCUGAUGGGUGGAUAAUGCCAUACAAAAUGUCACUGAUUUCCAGAAUCAGUUUUGUGCAUUGAAGAAAAAGUAAAAAAAAAAAUUACGACACUCUUGUAAAUAUGCAUGCAUAAAAGCCAUAAAAGAUUCCUUUUCUUCAAGUAAUAAAGAUGUCAAUUAUUGCAUUCUACCUACCAAGAUUCAUAUUGCCUUCUGUUGAGAUAUCACUGUCACAUGUACUGUAGAUAAUUAACCUAACAUUUCCUUUGAAAUAUUCUGCUAACUUCUUGUUAAAUAGGCUCAUGGUAAGAUAAAGAGGAGCACACUGAAUUAUGGGGCCAUGCCCAGACAAAAUCACACUAAAAUCAUUCUAGGAAAAACAAAUUCUGUGAAAAAUAACUAUGAAAGCUCUAUAAAAUUCGAUAAAAUGAAACAACAGAACAAUCACGAUGUUUCCGAUCACUUACAGUGGUUCAUGUCCGAACAGUGCUUCAGAGACUGAAAAAUUGAGUAGACCAAAUCGAGCAGAGCACGAACUAGAAGAACAUGGUGUUUCUGUAAGAGACGAAUUAUGGACAAAAUGACUGUCAUGCUGCGAAGGCAAGUGAAUUUUAG